ACGUAGGACCCAAGCGUUGUCCGGAUUUACUGGGUGUAAAGGGAGCGCAGGCGGAUUAUUAAGUCGAUUGUGAAAUCUUGCGGCUCAACCGCAAAACAGCAGUCGAUACUGUUAAUCUUGAGUGUGGAAGAGAGUGGCGGAAUUCAUGGUGUAGCAGUGAAAUGCGUAGAUAUCAUGAAGAACACCGGUUGCGAAGGCGGCCACUUAGUCCAUUACUGACGCUCAUGCUCGAAAGCGUGGGGAUCAAACAGGAUUAGAUACCCUGGUAGUCCACGCCCUAAACGAUGAAUACUCGGUGUCGGGUCGCAAGAUUCGGCGCCUAAGCAAACGCAUUAAGUAUUCCACCUGGGAAGUACGAUCGCAAGGUUG
RNAcentral lists this ribosomal RNA (369 nucleotides) under uncultured bacterium. Its description in RNAcentral is "bacterial SSU rRNA". It matches the Rfam family "Bacterial small subunit ribosomal RNA", at positions 525 to 896 of the family's 1533-position model. The record is from RNAcentral.